This 253-nucleotide ribosomal RNA is filed under the name uncultured bacterium. RNAcentral describes it as "partial 16S ribosomal RNA". It matches the Rfam family "Bacterial small subunit ribosomal RNA", at positions 524 to 776 of the family's 1533-position model. The record is from RNAcentral.
UACAGAGGGCCCGAGCGUUGUUCGGAUUCAUUGGGCGUAAAGGGUGCGUAGGCGGCGGGGCAAGUCUGAUGUGAAAUCCCGGGGCUCAACCCCGGAACUGCAUUGGAUACUGCCUUGCUUGAGUACUGGAGAGGGAACUGGAAUUUACGGUGUAGCAGUGAAAUGCGUAGAGAUCGUAAGGAAGGCCAGUGGCGAAGGCGAGUUCCUGGACAGUGACUGACGCUGAGGCACGAAGGCCAGGGGAGCAAACGGG